RNAcentral lists this transfer RNA (72 nucleotides) under Cavia porcellus (domestic guinea pig). It matches the Rfam family "tRNA". Rfam says of the family: Transfer RNA (tRNA) molecules are approximately 80 nucleotides in length. Lineage: Eukaryota; Metazoa; Chordata; Mammalia; Rodentia; Caviidae. The record is from Rfam by way of RNAcentral.
GGGGAUACAGUUCAGUGGCACAGCACCUGCCUGGCAAGCAUGGGGUCCUGAGUUCGAUUCCUGGUAUCCCUG